RNAcentral lists this long non-coding RNA (913 nucleotides) under Nicotiana benthamiana. Its description in RNAcentral is "long non-coding RNA (NBEN_LNC008272)". The record is from RNAcentral. Lineage: Eukaryota; Viridiplantae; Streptophyta; Magnoliopsida; Solanales; Solanaceae.
AUAACCACUACCCGAGAAGGGAGUGGGAACAAGUGAUACCCCAGGGACAUCAGACGAGUACACAAAAAGGGGACUAGAAGAAUCUACAACAGUAGAGGCACCAGUGUUUGUGCUAGAAGCCAUAAUGAACCGGCUUAAAUGAAUAACUUUUCAACAAACAGAAUACUACCAAAACAGGUAUUCAAACACAGCAACCAACAAACAGACUACAGUCAGGUCAAAUAUUCAUAGACAACACCAGAUGCUCACAAUAACAGAGUCAAAUAAUCACAUAUAAGAUCGAAGAUAAGGACAGAGUUACCCUCCUUCUUCGCGACCGGAGAAGAUCGGCCUUCAAACAGUAGAGAAACCCUAGGUAUCAAACCCUAGGUGUAACUUUGAAAACAAAUUUUACCGGAAAUCUGGUUAGCAACGCCGGAAAUGCACCCAAAGCAUCCUCAAAGUUAUAAUCGAGCCACCGGAAUACAGUAAAACCUCAGGUUAGACCGUCAAAAAAAACCCUAAAAGCCGAUAAGUCACCCAAAAUCACCCAAGCAAAAUCAUCAUAAAAUCUUUCCAGAAUUUUCAGGAGAUGAAAAUACACUCGGAUAUCACGAUGAUAUCCUCAAAAAAGUCUCCGAUAGGUUGAAAUCAUCAUCGACGAAGCGGUCUCAGAAAUCACCCCCAAAAACCUCGAAACAGACUUCAUCCAGGACCACGAAACACACAGAAACAUGAUCGGAUCGUCGUCGAGGCUCUAAUACCAUGUUAACAUCGAGAUUAAAUCGAUGAAUCAUGAAAAUCAUAGAGAGAGAAAGUAGAAAAGUUUGGAAUCAGAAAUAGAGAUUAAACCGAUGAAUCAUAAAAAUUAUAGAGAGAGAAAGUAGAGAGAAGGAGGAGUAGGUGAGAAGUCUCUGGAACUUCCGAGAGAGAG